Molecule: transfer RNA, 73 nt
Filed under: Stegodyphus mimosarum
Lineage: Eukaryota; Metazoa; Arthropoda; Arachnida; Araneae; Eresidae
Rfam family: tRNA
About the family: Transfer RNA (tRNA) molecules are approximately 80 nucleotides in length. Their secondary structure includes four short double-helical elements and three loops (D, anti-codon, and T loops). Further hydrogen bonds mediate the characteristic L-shaped molecular structure. tRNAs have two regions of fundamental functional importance: the anti-codon, which is responsible for specific mRNA codon recognition, and the 3' end, to which the tRNAs corresponding amino acid is attached (by aminoacyl-tRNA synthetases). tRNAs cope with the degeneracy of the genetic code in two manners: having more than one tRNA (with a specific anti-codon) for a particular amino acid; and 'wobble' base-pairing, i.e. permitting non-standard base-pairing at the 3rd anti-codon position.
Source: Rfam by way of RNAcentral
GCCUAUGUAGUGUAGCGGUCAGCACGAUGGGUACGUAUUCUAGAGAUCCGUGGUUCGAGUCCCGGCGAGGGCA